RNAcentral lists this ribosomal RNA (433 nucleotides) under uncultured bacterium. RNAcentral's name for it is "bacterial SSU rRNA". It matches the Rfam family "Bacterial small subunit ribosomal RNA", at positions 28 to 478 of the family's 1533-position model. The record is from RNAcentral.
GAUGAACGCUGGCGGCGUGCUUAACACAUGCAAGUCGAACGAGAAAGCACCUUCGGGUGUGAGUAGAGUGGCGAACGGGUGAGUAACACGUGAGCAACCUGCCUCUCACUUCGGAAUAACUCAGGGAAACCUGUGCUAAUACCGGAUACUCCGUACAUUCCGCAUGCUAUGUACGGGAAAGCCUUGUGCGGUGAGAGAUGGGCUCGCGGCCCAUUAGGUAGUUGGUGGGGUAACGGCCUACCAAGCCGACGAUGGGUAGCCGGGUUGAGAGACCGACCGGCCACAUUGGGACUGAGACACGGCCCAGACUCCUACGGGAGGCAGCAGUGGGGAAUUUUGCGCAAUGGGGGAAACCCUGACGCAGCAACGCCGCGUGCGGGAUGAAGGCCUUCGGGUUGUAAACCGCUUUCAGUAGGGAAGAAAAUGACGGUAC